UGCGCAGGUGGGGGUGUAAGUCAGUGGUGAAAUGUUGCCGCUCAACGGUAAAAUUGCCAUUGAUACUGCAUCUCUUGAGUAUGGUUGAGGUAGGCGGAAUGUGUUGUGUAGCGGUGAAAUGCAUAGAUAUGACACAGAACACCGAUUGCGAAGGCAGCUUACUAAGCCAUUACUGACGCUGAGGCACGAAAGCGUGGGGAGCGAACAGGAUUAGAUACCCUGGUAGUC
This 228-nucleotide ribosomal RNA is filed under the name uncultured bacterium. Its description in RNAcentral is "partial 16S ribosomal RNA". It matches the Rfam family "Bacterial small subunit ribosomal RNA", at positions 568 to 795 of the family's 1533-position model. The record is from RNAcentral.